AUGGUCACAUCACGCUAAAACUCCAGUUUCCAUACGAUCACCGAAGUUAAGCAACGUCGAAUCUGGUCAGCACCUUGAUGUAUGACUGCUUGGGAAUACCAGGUGAUGUUA
Molecule: non-coding RNA, 111 nt
Organism: Acanthosepion pharaonis
Lineage: Eukaryota; Metazoa; Mollusca; Cephalopoda; Sepiida; Sepiidae
Source: the annotation of a GenBank genome assembly